Molecule: transfer RNA, 72 nt
Filed under: Camelus ferus (Wild Bactrian camel)
Lineage: Eukaryota; Metazoa; Chordata; Mammalia; Artiodactyla; Camelidae
Rfam family: tRNA
About the family: Transfer RNA (tRNA) molecules are approximately 80 nucleotides in length. Their secondary structure includes four short double-helical elements and three loops (D, anti-codon, and T loops). Further hydrogen bonds mediate the characteristic L-shaped molecular structure. tRNAs have two regions of fundamental functional importance: the anti-codon, which is responsible for specific mRNA codon recognition, and the 3' end, to which the tRNAs corresponding amino acid is attached (by aminoacyl-tRNA synthetases). tRNAs cope with the degeneracy of the genetic code in two manners: having more than one tRNA (with a specific anti-codon) for a particular amino acid; and 'wobble' base-pairing, i.e. permitting non-standard base-pairing at the 3rd anti-codon position.
Source: Rfam by way of RNAcentral
GGGUGUGUAGCUCAGUGGUAGAGUAUGUGUUUAGCAGGCACAAGGUCCUGGGUUCAAUCCCCAGUACCGCCA